UGCCUGGGCCACUGAUACCAAUCAUGCUGAGGCUAGCACAGACAGUCACAGGCACAGGGUAAGCUGAGGCCAUGGAAAUGACAUUGCUGUGUACAGAAAGGAUGGGGGUGUGACAGAGCCAGAGAAAGAGGAAAGAGUUUGCCAGGAAACCAGACUGACACAGGCUGAGUGGAAAAGAGAAGUUGGAACAGUACUCACAGACCAUCUUGGGGCCAGUAAAGGAAGUGGAAGAAAGAUUACUUGCUUUGGGGAAAGUCAUGACUUGAGCAGACGCAUAGAGAGGCUCACAUGGCAGGAAAUGAAGCCUCCCACUGACAGCAGUGUGAGUUAACUUGGAAGUGGGAUUCUUCAGCCCCAGUCAAGACUUCAGAGACUACAGUCCUGGCCAACAGUUUGAGCCCAUGAAAGGUCCUGAGCCAGAAUUACUGGGCUAAGCCAUUCCUAAAUUUCUAACUGUCAGUAUAUUUGUGAGACAAUAAGUGCUUGCUUUAAGCUACAAAGUUUUGGGGUAUUUGUUUUACAGCAAAAGAUAACUAACACAGUGCCUCUCCUCUGUGCUUCAAGAGUUCUGCUCCUCCUCUGUCAUGGCACUUACCACACUGUGUUGUAAUUACCUGUUUACAUGUCUGUCUCUUCCUCAGACUGUGAGCUUAAUGGAGAUCUUGUCUUAUUAUCUUUGCAACCUCAUCACCUGGCCCAU
Molecule: long non-coding RNA, 700 nt
Organism: Phyllostomus discolor (pale spear-nosed bat)
Lineage: Eukaryota; Metazoa; Chordata; Mammalia; Chiroptera; Phyllostomidae
Exons: 2
Source: RefSeq, a predicted model, not a curated record